GACGAACGCUGGCGGCGUGCUUAACACAUGCAAGUCGAACGGAAAGGCCCUGCUUUUGUGGGGUGCUCGAGUGGCGAACGGGUGAGUAACACGUGAGUAACCUGCCCUUGACUUUGGGAUAACUUCAGGAAACUGGGGCUAAUACCGGAUAGGAGCUCCUGCUGCAUGGUGGGGGUUGGAAAGUUUCGGCGGUUGGGGAUGGACUCGCGGCUUAUCAGCUUGUUGGUGGGGUAGUGGCUUACCAAGGCUUUGACGGGUAGCCGGCCUGAGAGGGUGACCGGCCACAUUGGGACGGAGAUACGGCCAAGACUCCUACGGGAGGCAGCAGUGGGGAAUAUUGCACAAUGGGCGGAAGCCUGAUGCAGCAACGCCGCGUGCGGGAUGACGGCCUUCGGGUGGUAAACCGCUUUCGCCUGUGACGAAGCGUGAGGGACGGGAAUGGGGAAAGAAGCACCGGCGAACUACGG
This 467-nucleotide ribosomal RNA is filed under the name uncultured bacterium. RNAcentral describes it as "partial 16S ribosomal RNA". It matches the Rfam family "Bacterial small subunit ribosomal RNA", at positions 28 to 506 of the family's 1533-position model. The record is from RNAcentral.